Molecule: non-coding RNA, 232 nt
Filed under: Comamonas thiooxydans
Lineage: Bacteria; Pseudomonadati; Pseudomonadota; Betaproteobacteria; Burkholderiales; Comamonadaceae
Source: RNAcentral
AAGGUGCUCGCUUGAACGCGAGUGAAACGGGAACAAGGUCUGAUCGCAAGCUCAGGAAGCCUUGGCUGCCCCCGCAACGGUAAACAGGUCAACACACUCAUGCGAGCGCAUCGGCGCUCGCAGCCACUGGACAUGAUCCGGCCCCUCGCCUCGCGACGGUCUGCAUCUUUCGGGAAGGCGAGUCGUGAAUUCAGCGAUGAAUUGCCUGUGAGCCCGGAGACCGGCCUGCCGA